UGCUUGCGAGCCGUGGAGGAGCUUUGAGUGCAAGCAUUGGCCGCUUACACUGCCGCUCAACUGUUUGCGCCCUUCCGGCGUGAACAGCCGGAAAAACUUAACAUUUUCAAUGUCGUGCGAAAGUCUGGAGGACACACUGCGGUGAGCUAGAGUUAAAAAAAUGAUGAAAUUUCGCGUUCGCAUUCACACUAACUGAGUAACGGGUAUCUGAUAGUCGUCAGAGAACUCGACUAUAGCAUUACCUCUUGUUUUGGCAUCGACAUGACAUAAAAGCAUACAUUAAUGACUGUGAGACCUGUAAGUCGACGAAGUCGCCGAAUCAUGUUUUCAGGCCACCUGUACACAAUCCACUUCCGCUAGCUGUAUACAAUCAAUAUCGUAGGCGAUCAUGGCGAUCUCGCUCCAGAAAUAAUGUAAACAAAAGGACAGUAUAAGAAAGAUUUUUGUCACUUACAUUUAGUCAUAAAAUUAGAUCAAAAGAAUAAAGACGUGAAAACUA
This is a long non-coding RNA of Drosophila mauritiana, 499 nucleotides long. RefSeq lists it as uncharacterized. NCBI's taxonomy places the organism in Eukaryota, Metazoa, Arthropoda, Insecta, Diptera, Drosophilidae. The record is from RefSeq and is a predicted model, not a curated record. The transcript is spliced from 2 exons.